This is a long non-coding RNA of Columba livia (rock pigeon), 361 nucleotides long. RefSeq lists it as uncharacterized. Lineage: Eukaryota; Metazoa; Chordata; Aves; Columbiformes; Columbidae. The transcript has 3 exons. The record is from RefSeq and is a predicted model, not a curated record.
GAGUGUGGGAACUCGAUACAGCAACUAAAACAAUCCAUCCAUCUGAAUGCUACGCGGGGCAACUGAGAGGAAUCAGCGUGUGUGUUCAGAUGACAGACGAUGAUGGUGAUUUUCAUCUUGGCACGACGAGUGGAGAUGUCCUGAAAGUGAACACAAGCAGCAAGGUGCUGACUGCCUGUGGGCCCCAGAAGAAGAAGUUGAGCAUGGGAGUCACAGCUUUGCUUUUGCCGAAGACAGGAGGUUUAAUAGUCGGCACCGGAGAAGGGACUGUAGCUCUCUGUACAGGCUCAGACUGCCAAGUAAAGAAGUGAGUUUGUAGAUGGAAGAAUCAGGAGGGGAGAGGUGACAAUUCCUCCAAAAG